RNAcentral lists this ribosomal RNA (301 nucleotides) under uncultured bacterium. RNAcentral describes it as "partial 16S ribosomal RNA". It matches the Rfam family "Bacterial small subunit ribosomal RNA", at positions 509 to 807 of the family's 1533-position model. The record is from RNAcentral.
CAGUAGCCGCGGUAAUACGAAGGGGGCUAGCGUUGUUCGGAUUAACUGGGCGUAAAGGGCGCGUAGGCGGGUUUUUAAGUCAGAGGUGAAAUCCCAAGGCUCAACCUUGGAACUGCCUUUGAUACUGGGUGUCUUGAGUUCGGGAGAGGUGAGUGGAACUGCGAGUGUAGAGGUGAAAUUCGUAGAUAUUCGCAAGAACACCAGUGGCGAAGGCGGCUCACUGGCCCGAUACUGACGCUGAGGUGCGAAAGCGUGGGGAGCAAACAGGAUUAGAUACCCGCGUAGUCCCUGUCUCUUAUAC